Molecule: transfer RNA, 77 nt
Filed under: Ercella succinigenes
Lineage: Bacteria; Bacillati; Bacillota; Clostridia; Eubacteriales; Oscillospiraceae
Also listed under: 3 other names
Description: Arg
Rfam family: tRNA
About the family: Transfer RNA (tRNA) molecules are approximately 80 nucleotides in length. Their secondary structure includes four short double-helical elements and three loops (D, anti-codon, and T loops). Further hydrogen bonds mediate the characteristic L-shaped molecular structure. tRNAs have two regions of fundamental functional importance: the anti-codon, which is responsible for specific mRNA codon recognition, and the 3' end, to which the tRNAs corresponding amino acid is attached (by aminoacyl-tRNA synthetases). tRNAs cope with the degeneracy of the genetic code in two manners: having more than one tRNA (with a specific anti-codon) for a particular amino acid; and 'wobble' base-pairing, i.e. permitting non-standard base-pairing at the 3rd anti-codon position.
Source: RNAcentral
GGUCCCGUAGCUCAGCAGGAUAGAGCGUCGGUUUCCUAAACCGCAGGUCGGAGGUUCGAAUCCUCUCGGGAUCACCA